Molecule: ribosomal RNA, 420 nt
Filed under: bacterium
Lineage: Bacteria
Description: partial 16S ribosomal RNA
Rfam family: Bacterial small subunit ribosomal RNA
Source: RNAcentral
UGGGGGAUAUUGCACAAUGGGCGAAAGCCUGAUGCAGCGACGCCGCGUGGGGGAUGAAGGCUUUCGGGUUGUAAACCUCUUUCGCUAUCGAACAAGGCCCGCUUAGGGUGGGUUGAGGGUAGGUGGAGAAGAAGCGCCGGCUAACUACGUGCCAGCAGCCGCGGUAAUACGUAGGGCGCGAGCGUUGUCCGGAAUUAUUGGGCGUAAAGGGCUUGUAGGCGGCUUGUUGCGCCUGCUGUGAAAACGCGGGGCUUAACUUCGCGCGUGCAGUGGGUACGGGCAGGCUUGAGUGUGGUAGGGGUGACUGGAAUUCCAGGUGUAGCGGUGGAAUGCGCAGAUAUCUGGAGGAACACCGAUGGCGAAGGCAGGUCACUGGGCCAUUACUGACACUGAGGAGCGAAAGCAUGGGUAGCGAACAGG